CGACCCCUAAGGCGAGGCCGAAAGGCGUAGUCGAUGGGAAACAGGUUAAUAUUCCUGUACUUGGUGUUACUGCGAAGGGGGGACGGAGAAGGCUAUGUUGGCCGGGCGACGGUUGUCCCGGUUUAAGCGUGUAGGCUGGUUUUCCAGGCAAAUCCGGAAAAUCAAGGCUGAGGCGUGAUGACGAGGCACUACGGUGCUGAAGCAACAAAUGCCCUGCUUCCAGGAAAAGCCUCUAAGCAUCAGGUAACAUCAAAUCGUACCCCAAACCGACACAGGUGGUCAGGUAGAGAAUACCAAGGCGCUUGAGAGAACUCGGGUGAAGGAACUAGGCAAAAUGGUGCCGUAACUUCGGGAGAAGGCACGCUGAUAUGUAGGUGAAGUCCCUUGCGGAUGGAGCUGAAAUCAGUCGAAGAUACCAGCUGGCUGCAACUGUUUAUUAAAAACACAGCACUGUGCAAACACGAAAGUGGACGUAUACGGUGUGACGCCUGCCCGGUGCCGGAAGGUUAAUUGAUGGGGUCAGCGCAAGCGAAGCUCUUGAUCGAAGCCCCGGUAAACGGCGGCCGUAACUAUAACGGUCCUAAGGUAGCGAAAUUCCUUGUCGGGUAAGUUCCGACCUGCACGAAUGGCGUAAUGAUGGCCAGGCUGUCUCCACCCGAGACUCAGUGAAAUUGAACUCGCUGUGAAGAUGCAGUGUACCCGCGGCAAGACGGAAAGACCCCGUGAACCUUUACUAUAGCUUGACACUGAACAUUGAGCCUUGAUGUGUAGGAUAGGUGGGAGGCUUUGAAGUGUGGACGCCAGUCUGCAUGGAGCCGGCCUUGAAAUACCACCCUUUAAUGUUUGAUGUUCUAACGUGGACCCGUGAUCCGGGUUGCGGACAGUGUCUGGUGGGUAGUUUGACUGGGGCGGUCUCCUCCUAAAGAGUAACGGAGGAGCACGAAGGUUGGCUAAUCCUGGUCGGACAUCAGGAGGUUAGUGCAAUGGCAUAAGCCAGCUUGACUGCGAGCGUGACGGCGCGAGCAGGUGCGAAAGCAGGUCAUAGUGAUCCGGUGGUUCUGAAUGGAAGGGCCAUCGCUCAACGGAUAAAAGGUACUCCGGGGAUAACAGGCUGAUACCGCCCAAGAGUUCAUAUCGACGGCGGUGUUUGGCACCUCGAUGUCGGCUCAUCACAUCCUGGGGCUGAAGUAGGUCCCAAGGGUAUGGCUGUUCGCCAUUUAAAGUGGUACGCGAGCUGGGUUUAGAACGUCGUGAGACAGUUCGGUCCCUAUCUGCCGUGGGCGCUGGAGAACUGAGGGGGGCUGCUCCUAGUACGAGAGGACCGGAGUGGACGCAUCACUGGUGUUCGGGUUGUCAUGCCAAUGGCACUGCCCGGUAGCUAAAUGCGGAAGAGAUAAGUGCUGAAAGCAUCUAAGCACGAAACUUGCCCCGAGAUGAGUUCUCCCUGACCCUUUAAGGGUCCUGAAGGAACGUUGAAGACGACGACGUUGAUAGGCCGGGUGUGUAAGCGCAGCGAUGCGUUGAGCUAACCGGUACUAAUGAACCGUGAG
RNAcentral lists this ribosomal RNA (1550 nucleotides) under Escherichia coli. RNAcentral's name for it is "partial 23S ribosomal RNA". It matches the Rfam family "Bacterial large subunit ribosomal RNA", at positions 1385 to 2915 of the family's 2925-position model. Lineage: Bacteria; Pseudomonadati; Pseudomonadota; Gammaproteobacteria; Enterobacterales; Enterobacteriaceae. The record is from RNAcentral.